Molecule: ribosomal RNA, 510 nt
Filed under: Cryptococcus sp. FN18L03
Lineage: Eukaryota; Fungi; Basidiomycota; Tremellomycetes; Tremellales; Cryptococcaceae
Description: eukaryotic LSU rRNA
Rfam family: 5.8S ribosomal RNA (bases 104-257)
Source: RNAcentral
CUUAUCUUAACAUCCCUCACCUCUGUGAACCGUUUGACCUCCGGGUCUAACAAACUAUACAAACAUCAGUGUAAUGAACGUCUUGUUAUCUUAACAAAAACAAAACUUUUAACAACGGAUCUCUUGGCUCUCGCAUCGAUGAAGAACGCAGCGAAAUGCGAUAAGUAAUGUGAAUUGCAGAAUUCAGUGAAUCAUCGAAUCUUUGAACGCACCUUGCGCCUUUUGGUAUUCCGAAAGGCAUGCCUGUUUGAGUGUCAUGAAAUCUCAAUCCCAUCUGGUUUAUGAUCAGGUGUCGGACUUGGACGUGGGCGUCUGCCGGUUACACGGCUCGCCUCAAAUGACUUAGUGGGAUCGCUAGCAUCCGUGACAGACGUAAUAAGUUUCGUCUUGUCCCUUGCGUGCGUCAAGCCUGCUCAGAACCCCGCUUGCCUCUGUGCAACACUUUUUUGACUCUGACCUCAAAUCAGGUAGGACUACCCGCUGAACUUAAGCAUAUCAAUAAGCGGAGGA